Linepithema humile (Argentine ant) is the source of this 749-nucleotide non-coding RNA. Lineage: Eukaryota; Metazoa; Arthropoda; Insecta; Hymenoptera; Formicidae. The record is from RefSeq and is a predicted model, not a curated record.
ACAGUCGAUCGAAUCAUUUCGGCGUUUUGCAGGUUAUAUUUUCGCAGAGGUAUAUCAAAGACGCGAUGCAUGAUCGCCAGAUGGAUUAACGGGAGUGAGGAAUUCAUUCAUUGACCGAUUAUUAUCGACGAAUCAUUCAGCAAUGGAUUAUCAUCGACGUUGGAGUCGCCGAUGGAUUGUUGCUGACGACGGAUUUAUCGGCGGAUGGACUAUUCACCGACAAUGGUGGUUUCAUCGAUGGAUUGUUGAUGAUGAACCUGAUGAUCGAUUUGCCAGUGAUAAUAAUUUCAAUAUAUGCGGUAUGAGAAACUUUUGUGCAACAUUCGUGCUUCGUAAUCGUCAUAUUCGUUCCGCCGUAAUGUAAUAAAACACACGUUGAGAGUCGGGAGUGCCGUGAUAGUUUCGCGCGAAUACGAAACACCGUAUUCUAGCGAAUCAUAAGAUGAACGUAUUUUGCCGAAUGAUAUGAUAAAUAUUGGGACACGAUCGAAUCCCUUUCAAGGGAACUUUCUUCUCGAUUCUUGGGUUCGGCUCGGGAGAGGGAAGGAUCGAUUUGUAUCAUGGGAUCUCGAUUGGAGCCCUUCAGUAUCAGACGUGUCAACAUAUGAUGCAUGCACGGAAAAAAAAGAUAUUCUUAUUUUAAAAAUAUCUUUAUUUUUAACAUGAAAAUCUCGAAAUGAGAUUAUAUUGCUUUAAACGAAGAAAACUGGCUUGAAUGAAGUCAUUUUAUAUAGUUCAACCAAGAAAAA